RNAcentral lists this ribosomal RNA (491 nucleotides) under uncultured bacterium. RNAcentral describes it as "partial 16S ribosomal RNA". It matches the Rfam family "Bacterial small subunit ribosomal RNA", at positions 29 to 507 of the family's 1533-position model. The record is from RNAcentral.
GUGAACGCUGGCGGUGGGCCUAACACAUGCCAGUCGAACGGCAGCACAGUAAGAGCUUGCUCUUACGGGUGGCGAGUGGCGGACGGGUGAGGAAUACAUCGGAAUCUACUUUUUCGUGGGGGAUAACGUAGGGAAACUUACGCUAAUACCGCAUACGACCUACGGGUGAAAGCAGGGGAUCUUCGGACCUUGCGCGAUUGAAUGAGCCGAUGUCGGAUUAGCUAGUUGGCGGGGUAAAGGCCCACCAAGGCGACGAUCCGUAGCUGGUCUGAGAGGAUGAUCAGCCACACUGGAACUGAGACACGGUCCAGACUCCUACGGGAGGCAGCAGUGGGGAAUAUUGGACAAUGGGCGCAAGCCUGAUCCAGCCAUACCGCGUGGGUGAAGAAGGCCUUCGGGUUGUAAAGCCCUUUUGUUGGGAAAGAAAAGCAGCAGGUUAAUACCCCGCUGUUCUGACGGUACCCAAAGAAUAAGCACCGGCUAACUUCGUG